RNAcentral lists this ribosomal RNA (443 nucleotides) under uncultured bacterium. Its description in RNAcentral is "partial 16S ribosomal RNA". It matches the Rfam family "Bacterial small subunit ribosomal RNA", at positions 338 to 795 of the family's 1533-position model. The record is from RNAcentral.
CCUACGGGGGGCAGCAGUGGGGAAUAUUGGUCAAUGGGGGGAACCCUGAUCCAGCGACGCCGCGUGAGUGAAGAAGUAUUUCGGUAUGUAAAGCUCUAUCAGCAGGGAAGAAAGAAAUGACGGUACCUGACUACGAAGCCUCGGCUAACUACGUGCCAGCAGCCGCGGCAAUACGUAGGGGGCAAGCGUUAUGCGGAUUUACUGGGUGUAAAGGGAGCGUAGACGGUUACGCAAGUCUGGAGUGAAAGGCGGGGGCCGAACCCCCGGACUGCUUUGGAAACUGUAUAACUGGAGUGCAGGAGAGGUAAGUGGAAUUCCUAGUGUAGCGGUGAAAUGCGUAGAUAUUAGGAGGAACACCAGUGGCGAAGGCAGCUUACUGGACUGUAACUGACGUUGAGGCACGAAAGCGUGGGGAGCAAACAGGAUUAGAUACCCGUGUAGUC